CUCAACAGCAAGAACAGCUUUCGAUUCCUUCACAAACCUCAAUUCUCACUUUGAAAAUUCAAACGAAACUAAACGCAAGCCAUGAACAAGACCUCAAAUCCAGAUGAACAAUCAUCACCGAAAUCUUAUAAAUCGAAUUCAUCAUCAUCGAAUUGAGUUGCAAACUGAAGACGAGUCGUAAUCAAAUUGUGUUUUAUGCGCAGAACUGAAGAGAAUCAUAGAUGAAUGGUGGAUUUCGUUCAAGAAAUGCACGCUGAUUGAAUCAAGAGAUAGAAGAUUUACUAGAUUGAAGCUCCAGCACGGUGGUUCUCCGGCGAAUCAGGUUUUGCUUGGCAAAUGGAUAUGGUCAUGGAUGUGAGCUCAAGAUCAAGAUGAUGUGGACUUAGAGACUUUAGGGAAGAUGGUUGACUUUGUUCAACCAGUUGACCAAAAAUUCAAUAGUUGACUAAAGUCAACUGUAGGUUAGAAUAGGUUUCUUUUUUUUGUUUGAUGUAAAUGUAAGGACUUGUAUUUGAUGUCUUGAUGAAAUGUAAUGUAAAAGAGGUUUUGAAUGAAUAAAACGUGAUUCCUCUA
This is a long non-coding RNA of Lathyrus oleraceus (garden pea), 573 nucleotides long. RefSeq lists it as uncharacterized. The transcript has 2 exons. The record is from RefSeq and is a predicted model, not a curated record. NCBI's taxonomy places the organism in Eukaryota, Viridiplantae, Streptophyta, Magnoliopsida, Fabales, Fabaceae.